UGGGGAAUUUUGGACAAUGGGCGAAAGCCUGAUCCAGCAAUGCCGCGUGUGUGAAGAAGGCCUUCGGGUUGUAAAGCACUUUUGUCCGGAAAGAAAUCCUUGGCUCUAAUACAGUCGGGGGAUGACGGUACCGGAAGAAUAAGCACCGGCUAACUACGUGCCAGCAGCCGCGGUAAUACGUAGGGUGCAAGCGUUAAUCGGAAUUACUGGGCGUAAAGCGUGCGCAGGCGGUUUGCUAAGACCGAUGUGAAAUCCCCGGGCUCAACCUGGGAACUGCAUUGGUGACUGGCAGGCUAGAGUAUGGCAGAGGGGGGUAGAAUUCCACGUGUAACAGUGAAAUGCGUAGAGAUGUGGAGGAAUACCGAUGGCGAAGGCAGCCCCCUGGGCCAAUACUGACGCUCAUGCACGAAAGCGUGGGGAGCAAACAGGAUUAGAUACCCUGGUAGUCCACGCCCUAAACGAUGUCAACUAGUUGUUGGGGAUUCAUUUCCUUAGUAACGUAGCUAACGCGUGAAGUUGACCGCCUGGGGAGUACGGUCGCAAGAUUAAAACUCAAAUGAAUUGACGGGGUCAUA
This 575-nucleotide ribosomal RNA is filed under the name uncultured bacterium. RNAcentral's name for it is "partial 16S ribosomal RNA". It matches the Rfam family "Bacterial small subunit ribosomal RNA", at positions 355 to 923 of the family's 1533-position model. The record is from RNAcentral.